Molecule: small nuclear RNA, 62 nt
Organism: Tupaia belangeri (northern tree shrew)
Lineage: Eukaryota; Metazoa; Chordata; Mammalia; Scandentia; Tupaiidae
Gene: U7
Rfam family: U7 small nuclear RNA
About the family: Animal histone pre-mRNAs are spliced by a different mechanism than nuclear pre-mRNAs and self-splicing introns. This processing involves the U7 snRNP, which contains only one RNA species: U7. The 5' end of U7 RNA is thought to base-pair to a conserved spacer element downstream of the cleavage site in histone pre-mRNA.
Source: Ensembl
AAGUGUUACAGUUCUUUUAGAAUUUGUUUAACAGGUUUUCUGGUUUUUACUGGAAAGCCCCC